CCUACGGGAGGCAGCAGUAGGGAAUCUUCCGCAAUGGACGAAAGUCUGACGGAGCAACGCCGCGUGAGUGAAGAAGGUUUUCGGAUCGUAAAACUCUGUUGUCAGGGAAGAACAAGUACGGGAGUAACUGCCCGUACCUUGACGGUACCUGGCCAGAAAGCCACGGCUAACUACGUGCCAGCAGCCGCGGUAAUACGUAGGUGGCAAGCGUUGUCCGGAAUUAUUGGGCGUAAAGCGCGCGCAGGCGGCCUUUUAAAGUCUGAUGUGAAAGCCCCCGGCUCAACCGGGGAGGGUCAUUGGAAACUGGAAGGCUUGAGUGCAGAAGAGAAGAGCGGAAUUCCACGUGUAGCGGUGAAAUGCGUAGAGAUGUGGAGGAACACCAGUGGCGAAGGCGGCUCUUUGGUCUGUAACUGACGCUGAGGCGCGAAAGCGUGGGGAGCAAACAGGAUUAGAUACCCUGGUAGUCCACGCCGUAAACGAUGAGUGCUAAGUGUUGGGGGGUUUACGCCCGUCAGUGCUGCNGCUACGCAUAGCACUCCGCCGNGGGAGGUACGGCCGCGAGCGAGAACGACGAAGAAGUUAGACGGCGUGAGACGUGCCGACGGACGACGACGAGGGAGGAGG
RNAcentral lists this ribosomal RNA (624 nucleotides) under uncultured bacterium. Its description in RNAcentral is "bacterial SSU rRNA". The stretch from base 1 to 542 matches the Rfam family "Bacterial small subunit ribosomal RNA", at positions 338 to 873 of the family's 1533-position model. The record is from RNAcentral.